GGGGGGGGCAAGCGUUGUUCGGAAUUACUGGGCGUAAAGGGCUCGUAGGUGGCCAACUAAGUCAACCGUGAAAUCCCUCGGCUUAACCGGGGAACUGCGUUUGAUACUGGAUGGCUUGAGUUUGGGAGAGGGAUGCGGAAUUCCAGGUGUAGCGGUGAAAUGCGUAGAUAUCUGGAGGAACACCGGUGGCGAAGGCGGCAUCCUGGACCAAUACUGACGCUGAGGAGCGAAAGCCAGGGGAGCAAACGGGAUUAGAUACCCCGGUAGUCCUGGCCCUAAACGAUGAAUGCUUGGUGUGGCGGGUAUCGAUCCCUGCCGUGCCGAAGCUAACGCAUUAAGCAUUCCGCCUGGGGAGUACGGUCGCAAGGCUGAA
This 373-nucleotide ribosomal RNA is filed under the name uncultured bacterium. Its description in RNAcentral is "bacterial SSU rRNA". It matches the Rfam family "Bacterial small subunit ribosomal RNA", at positions 527 to 898 of the family's 1533-position model. The record is from RNAcentral.